ACACAGGUAGUCGAGGAGAGUAUCCUAAGGUGAGCGAGCGAACUCUCGUUAAGGAACUCGGCAAAAUGACCCCGUAACUUCGGGAGAAGGGGUGCUGACGACCGUCAGCCGCAGUGAAUAGGCCCAAGCGACUGUUUAUCAAAAACACAGGUCUCUGCAAAAUCGUAAGAUGAAGUAUAGGGGCUGACGCCUGCCCGGUGCUGGAAGGUUAAGAGGAUGGGUUAGCUUCGGCGAAGCUCAGAAUUGAAGCCCCAGUAAACGGCGGCCGUAACUAUAACGGUCCUAAGGUAGCGAAAUUCCUUGUCGGGUAAGUUCCGACCCGCACGAAAGGCGUAACGAUUUGGGCACUGUCUCAACGAGAGACUCGGUGAAAUUUUAGUACCUGUGAAGAUGCAGGUUACCCGCGACAGGACGGAAAGACCCCAUGGAGCUUUACUGUAGU
This 442-nucleotide ribosomal RNA is filed under the name Enterococcus faecalis. RNAcentral describes it as "partial 23S ribosomal RNA". It matches the Rfam family "Bacterial large subunit ribosomal RNA", at positions 1657 to 2110 of the family's 2925-position model. Lineage: Bacteria; Bacillati; Bacillota; Bacilli; Lactobacillales; Enterococcaceae. The record is from RNAcentral.